GCUCAGGAUGAACGCUAGCUACAGGCUUAACACAUGCAAGUCGAGGGGCAGCAUGGUCUUAGCUUGCUAAGGCCGAUGGCGACCGGCGCACGGGUGAGUAACACGUAUCCAACCUGCCGUCUACUCUUGGACAGCCUUCUGAAAGGAAGAUUAAUACAAGAUGGCAUCAUGAGUCCACAUGUUCACAUGAUUAAAGGUAUUCCGGUAGACGAUGGGGAUGCGUUCCAUUAGAUAGUAGGCGGGGUAACGGCCCACCUAGUCUUCGAUGGAUAGGGGUUCUGAGAGGAAGGUCCCCCACAUUGGAACUGAGACACGGUCCAAACUCCUACGGGAGGCAGCAGUGAGGAAUAUUGGUCAAUGGGCGAGAGCCUGAACCAGCCAAGUAGCGUGAAGGAUGACUGCCCUAUGGGUUGUAAACUUCUUUUAUAAAGGAAUAAAGUCGGGUAUGGAUACCCGUUUGCAUGUACUUUAUGAAUAAGGAUCGGCUAACUCCGUGCCAGCAGCCGCGGUAAUACGGAGGAUCCGAGCGUUAUCCGGAUUUAUUGGGUUUAAAGGGAGCGUAGAUGGAUGUUUAAGUCAGUUGUGAAAGUUUGCGGCUCAACCGUAAAAUUGCAGUUGAUACUGGAUAUCUUGAGUGCAGUUGAGGCAGGCGGAAUUCGUGGUGUAGCGGUGAAAUGCUUAGAUAUCACGAAGAACUCCGAUUGCGAAGGCAGCCUGCUAAGCUGCAACUGACAUUGAGGCUCGAAAGUGUGGGUAUCAAACAGGAUUAGAUACCCUGGUAGUCCACACGGUAAACGAUGAAUACUCGCUGUUUGCGAUAUACUGCAAGCGGCCAAGCGAAAGCGUUAAGUAUUCCACCUGGGGAGUACGCCGGCAACGGUGAAACUCAAAGGAAUUGACGGGGGCCCGCACAAGCGGAGGAACAUGUGGUUUAAUUCGAUGAUACGCGAGGAACCUUACCCGGGCUUAAAUUGCAGAUGAAUUACGGUGAAAGCCGUAAGCCGCAAGGCAUCUGUGAAGGUGCUGCAUGGUUGUCGUCAGCUCGUGCCGUGAGGUGUCGGCUUAAGUGCCAUAACGAGCGCAACCCUUGUUGUCAGUUACUAACAGGUUCCGCUGAGGACUCUGACAAGACUGCCAUCGUAAGAUGUGAGGAAGGUGGGGAUGACGUCAAAUCGGCACGGCCCUUACGUCCGGGGCUACACACGUGUUACAAUGGGGGGUACAGAGGGCCGCUACCACGCGAGUGGAUGCCAAUCCCAAAAACCUCUCUCAGUUCGGACUGGAGUCUGCAACCCGACUCCACGAAGCUGGAUUCGCUAGUAAUCGCGCAUCAGCCACGGCGCGGUGAAUACGUUCCCGGGCCUUGUACACACCGCCCGUCAAGCCAUGGGAGCCGGGGGUACCUGAAGUGCGUAACCGCGAGGAGCGCCCUAGGGUA
Molecule: ribosomal RNA, 1438 nt
Filed under: uncultured organism
Description: 16S ribosomal RNA
Rfam family: Bacterial small subunit ribosomal RNA
Source: RNAcentral